GAGAGUUUGAUUAUGGCUCAAGAUGAACGCUGGCGGCGUGCCUAACACAUGCUAGUCGAGCGAGAAAUGAAGAGAAGAAACUUCGGUAGAUUUUCAUCAUGGAAAGCGGCGGACGGGUGAGUAACGCGUAGGCAACCUGCCCCGUACAGGGGGAUAGCCAUCGGAAACGAUGAUUAAGACCCCAUAAAGCGGAAUAUACACAUGUAAAAACCGUCAAAGAUUUAUCGGUAUGGGAUGGGCCUGCGUCUGAUUAGAUAGUUGGUAGGGUAACGGCCUACCAAGUCAACGAUCAGUAGCCGACCUGAGAGGGUGAACGGCCACAUUGGAACUGAGACACGGUCCAAACUCCUACGGGAGGCAGCAGUGGGGAAUAUUGCACAAUGGAGGGAACUCUGAUGCAGCAACGCCGCGUGAAGGAAGAAGGUCUUCGGAUCGUAAACUUCUGUCCAAAAGGAAGAAGGAAGUGACGGUACUUUUGGAGGAAGCCCCGGCUAACUACGUGCCAUCAGCCGCGGUAAUACGUAUGGGGCAAGCGUUAUCCGGAAUUAUUGGGCGUAAAGAGUGCGUAGGUGGUCACUUAAGCGCAGGGUUUAAGGCAAUGGCUCAACCAUUGUAUGCCCUGCGAACUGGGCGACUUGAGUGCAGGAGAGGAAAGUGGAAUUCCUAGUGUAGCGGUGAAAUGCGUAGAUAUUAGGAGGAACACCGGUGGCGAAGGCGACUUUCUGGACUGAUACUGACACUGAGGCACGAAAGCGUGGGGAGCAUACAGGAUUAGAUACCCUGGUAGUCCACGCCGUAUACGAUGAGCACCACGUGUCGGGUUCGUAUGACUCUGUGCCGCAGUUAACGCAUAAGUGCUCCGUCGUGGGGAGUACGUUCGCAGAUAAACUCAAGGAUUUGACAGGGACCCGCACAGCUGCGAGCUUGUUGUUUAUUCGAGCACGCGUAGAAUCUUACUCGGACUGACAUCUUCUGCGUACCGCAAAUGCUAUUUCUACGGACAGAAGAACUGGUGGGGCAUUGUUUGUCUCGCUCGGUUCUGAAUGUGGGUAGUCCCGCACGAGGCUACCUGCUUAGUGGCAUCAUACUUGGACUCUAGACUGCAGGACACUGAGAUGUGAAGUACUCAAUGCCAUGCACUUAGUUUCGAACUCACACGUGCUCUACAUGGUCCGGUUCUACAG
This 1184-nucleotide ribosomal RNA is filed under the name uncultured bacterium. RNAcentral describes it as "bacterial SSU rRNA". It matches the Rfam family "Bacterial small subunit ribosomal RNA", at positions 7 to 1169 of the family's 1533-position model. The record is from RNAcentral.